RNAcentral lists this long non-coding RNA (404 nucleotides) under Brassica napus (rape). RNAcentral describes it as "long non-coding RNA (BNAP_LNC011512)". The record is from RNAcentral. Lineage: Eukaryota; Viridiplantae; Streptophyta; Magnoliopsida; Brassicales; Brassicaceae.
GUAGACAUUUGUCAUGACACCACCUUUCCUUAACAUAGAACCGAAGACCGUUGCGCAGACUAUGGCCUGCUUGUUUGUUAUCAGCAUUUGGUUACGUAUCCCAGAAAUGUAUGAAUUCAAGGAGGUACAGCAAGAAGGGCUUGGAGCAGCCGCAUUACGGCACGCCUUGACCACUUCCGUAUCAAGGAGGUACAGCAAGAAGGGCUUGGAGCAGCCGCAUUACGGCAAGCCUUGACCACUUCCGUUGGCUCCUUAAACUCCAAGGGGCAAACUGUAAACUCCACAAUGUAAAGUCAGAACCAAUGUUCAAGAAAUCCGUAGGCUGUAACUAGGCCUUUUGUAGAGAACUAGCAACUAAGCAGAUUAUUCGAGGCCUAGGCCAGGCCGAAACAUUAACGAAUUAU